AUUGAACGCUGGCGGCAGGCUUAACACAUGCAAGUCGAGCGGGGUGAUGGUGCUUGCACUAUCACUUAGCGGCGGACGGGUGAGUAAUGCUUAGGAAUCUGCCUAUUAGUGGGGGACAACAUCUCGAAAGGGAUGCUAAUACCGCAUACGUCCUACGAGAGAAAGCGGGGAUCACUUGUGACCUUGCGCUAAUAGAUGAGCCUAGGUCGGAGUAGCUAGUUGGUGGGGUAAAGGCCUACCAAGGCGACGAUCUGUAGCGGGUCUGAGAGGAUGAUCCGCCACACUGGGACUGAGACACGGCCCAGACUCCUACGGGAGGCAGCAGUGGGGAAUAUUGGACAAUGGGGGGAACCCUGAUCCAGCCAUGCCGCGUGUGUGAAGAAGGCCUUAUGGUUGUAAAGCACUUUAAGCGAGGAGGAGGCUCUUUUGGUUAAUACCCAAGAUGAGUGGACGUUACUCGCAGAAUAAGCACCGGCUAACUCUGUGCCAGCCGCCGCCGUAA
This 502-nucleotide ribosomal RNA is filed under the name uncultured bacterium. RNAcentral describes it as "partial 16S ribosomal RNA". It matches the Rfam family "Bacterial small subunit ribosomal RNA", at positions 30 to 523 of the family's 1533-position model. The record is from RNAcentral.